Ribosomal RNA from Ochotona princeps (American pika), 98 nucleotides. Lineage: Eukaryota; Metazoa; Chordata; Mammalia; Lagomorpha; Ochotonidae. The record is from Ensembl.
GUCUACGGCCAAACCAGCCUGAAUGCACCUGAUAUCGGAAGCUAAGCAGGGUCGGGCCUGGUUAGUACUUGGAUGGGAGAAAUCUGCUUCACUAAUCC